UGGCUCAGAUUAAACGCUGGCGGCAUGCCUUACACAUGCAAGUCGAACGGCAGGCGGGCCUUCGGGUGCCGGCGAGUGGCGAACGGUGAGUAAUGCAUCGGAACGUGCCUAUUGAGUGGGGAUAACGUAGCGAAAGUUGCGCUAAUACCGCAUAUUCUGUGAGCAGGAAAGCAGGGGACCGCAAGGCCUUGCGCUCUUUGAGCGGCCGAUGUCAGAUUAGCUAGUUGGUGAGGUAAAGGCUUACCAAGGCGACGAUCUGUAGCGGGUCUGAGAGGAUGAUCCGCCACACUGGAACUGAGACACGGUCCAGACUCCUACGGGAGGCAGCAGUGGGGAAUUUUGGACAAUGGGGCAACCCUGAUCCAGCCAUGCCGCGUGAGUGAAGAAGGCCUUCGGGUUGUAAAGCUCUUUCGGCCGGGAAGAAAUCGCAUGGGUGAAUACCCUGUGUGGAUGACGGUACCGGAACAAGGAGCACCGGCUAACUACGUG
This 489-nucleotide ribosomal RNA is filed under the name uncultured bacterium. RNAcentral's name for it is "bacterial SSU rRNA". It matches the Rfam family "Bacterial small subunit ribosomal RNA", at positions 20 to 507 of the family's 1533-position model. The record is from RNAcentral.